This 289-nucleotide long non-coding RNA is filed under the name Chinchilla lanigera (long-tailed chinchilla). Its description in RNAcentral is "lncRNA (ENSCLAG00000024471.1)". Lineage: Eukaryota; Metazoa; Chordata; Mammalia; Rodentia; Chinchillidae. The record is from RNAcentral.
UUCCCAGCGCACCCUCACCUCUGAAUGCCAGCUGCUCACUAGCUGCUCCUUCAUGACUUUUCCACGCUGCCUUUUAUCGUUUCCAUCUGAAAUAGUGGAUAAUUCCAACGGCAGUGCAUACAGGAGCUUCAGAGACUUCUCAGCUCUGCUCUGUUUCUCAGCCAUCAGCAGCUCCUGUAUUCUUCUGGAAGCUUCGCAGAUGAACUUGAACCCCACCUGCCCUGCCCCAGACAGCUCGAGAGGAGCACACCAACCUUGAGCGAGCUCUGGGAAGUAGGUGCCAGUCCAG